UACAGAGGGCCCAAGCGUUGUUCGGAUUCAUUGGGCGUAAAGGGUGCGUAGGUGGCGCCGUAAGUCGGGUGUGAAAUUUCGGAGCUUAACUCCGAAACUGCAUUCGAUACUGCGGUGCUUGAGGACUGGAGAGGAGACUGGAAUUCAUGGUGUAGCAGUGAAAUGCGUAGAGAUCAUGAGGAAGACCAGUGGCGAAGGCGGGUCUCUGGGCCGUAACUGACGCUGAGGAGCGAAAGCGUGGGGAGCGAACAGG
Molecule: ribosomal RNA, 253 nt
Filed under: uncultured bacterium
Lineage: Bacteria
Description: partial 16S ribosomal RNA
Rfam family: Bacterial small subunit ribosomal RNA
Source: RNAcentral